Long non-coding RNA from Gossypium arboreum, 2447 nucleotides. RefSeq lists it as uncharacterized. The transcript has 5 exons. NCBI's taxonomy places the organism in Eukaryota, Viridiplantae, Streptophyta, Magnoliopsida, Malvales, Malvaceae. The record is from RefSeq and is a predicted model, not a curated record.
UAAUAAUAAAAAAAGAGGGUAAGAAAAACCGGGAAAGAAAAAAAAGAAAAGGGGAAGAACCUUUUUAUUCUCCUCAACUUUCUCAAAAUGCCGAAACCCUAGAGGAGAAAAGGGGGAAAGAAAUUCUUGUAAGAUUUUUGUCGAAUGACAAAAAGGGUCUCUAUUCUGCGUCAUUUAAGGUUCCGGAUGUUUAUGGUGUUUUCCAGUUCAAGGUUGAGUACGAAAAGCUUGGGUAUACAAGCUUAUCCCUUUCAAAACGGGUUUAUCACAUCUCAUGGAAAUUUUUAUUUUACAAAUAAACUAUCAAAACUUUGAAUUUUGCGGAUUCCAGUCAGGCCAUAUAGACACAAUGAAUAUGAAAGAUUCAUACCAACUGCUUAUCCCUACUACGGAUCCAAGGGGGGCGCGGAGUGAUCAUCCCUUUAAGUCAGUACAGUAGUAUUGCAAAUGAAAGACAAAUCGUGUCUUUUUCUUAAAAUGAAAAAGAAAAAGUAGUAAUUUAUUAUCUGAGUCCCAAAUCCUUAAGAUGAGUAAAAUGCUUGUAUAUUUAGUAGUUGUUCAAUGCAGGCACAGGUAAAAUUGAACAAUAUUUUUACAACUAGCCUAAUUUUAGUGAUCUAAUUAUGGUUUUAGACCCUUUAUUAUGUUGAAAUUUGGGAUUCAGUUUUUCUAAUUUGAUUUGGCAUAAUUUAGUCUUUCUACUUUUACAAUAUUAUUGGUAGGUUCAAAUGGCUAACAGUACUCAUUUAAAAAAGAAAACCCAGCUUUGAGAUUCGGCUUAGACGAAUUGAACACUAUUUAUUGGAUUUUUUAAGAAAAUAGGCAACUGGUAACGGUGUUUAUCAAUUUGAAUUUACUAAAUGGUGUACUCUAACGUUUUGGCCAACUAUUGGUAUAAGAAUUGGUAUUUACUGGUUUUGAACUACAGGUUUUCUCUCUCUGUCUCUGAUCUCUAUAGUUUAAAAAGAUUUCAACUUGUUAAUAAAUUGUUAAUAGAUGAUUAGAGCUGUGAACCGAAUUUCAAGUUAAUAUAUUAGUUUUAAAAAACUUCCAUUUUUCUUAUUUUUGGCAUAUAAGAGAAUUUUUUUAUGUAAUAACUUCUGUGAAGCUAACAUUAUAUUCUACUAAUGGUGGUUUUUUAUGCAAACCACACACCAUCCACUCCGAGGUGGUGCAGUGCUUGCUGCUUCCUUCGUCGCCUGUUUCCUGUGGUGCUUCGGAUCUGGGCUCUGGCUAUUUGACGACCCGGCUGUUGGAGGUUCCAGGUCUUUGAACCGACCUCAAAUUAAAGCUCAGGCUAGUUGAAUUGCUGAUCUGCUUCGCGAAACUGACGUUUCAUAUCUUUAAGUGUUUAAAAUUCUAGUGAAUUUGAAAUUUUAGCUCAAUUUUUAGUGUUUUCUCAAUGCAGUGAAAUCUGAAAGAAAAUAUUUGGACUUCUAAGUCUUUGACAUUGUUAUUGAUUAUAUAAGCUUUAUCUCUUCUUUUUUUUGAACAAUUUGUAUUUAUUGGUUAAAGCUCCCACAUAGUUGCUAUUUGAUUUAAUUGCUGUUCGGUGUUCGCGAAAUUGUUAAAAGGAAUCUUAGGGAUGAGGCAAAUUCAGUUUCGCAUGACCAUUUGGAGCCCUUGGAACUUCAUGCACAAGUUCUCUAAUACAACCCUGCAGCAUUUGAGUAUGUUACCCUUGGUAAACAAAGUAUUCUCGUUUCUCUUGUUCAUCUUAUCUGAUGCCCCUAAUAAAUGGAAGACUAAAGGAAUUGAGCCAAUGCAUGAUAGUUCUUUUUGAUAUAUGUAGAUGGGGAAGUCCCUUUACAAAAUUAGAGUGUGAUUUCUGGAGAGAUCACUGAAUUAUUUCAUUAGCUUAUUGAAGCCUUUGUAAAAUUUUGCUUGAAUGAUGUCUAAUAAUGGUAGCGUUUACAGAUAUGUGGGCUGUUGGUGCUAUAUUAGCGGAGCUUUUUACUUCAUCUCCUAUUUUUAUUGGUGAAAGUUUAUGCAGGAUUGGUCAUUACACAAUCCCUAAAGAGAUGAAUGAAGUCUACAAUUGGCUUACAACAAUGUUGAGGCUCGAGGGAUAACACUAAAUAUAGCCAAGAGUCGAGAAGCAAUGGAGGUGAAAAGAGAGAAAACUGCAUAUGUUACAAGUAGGUAGUAAACAAAAUGGAUUGUUAGGGUAUAUGGUAUACUUGGAUCUGGAUAUAUUUCACUACUUAGGGCUACCUUUGUAGAAAUAAGAGAUCAACAGAGUUUCUUGGAAUUAAAGUUGCAGUUUCAAACUGUAUUAGCUUUUUUGUAGUACAACAUCAAUAUCAAUGUACAUCGCCUUAGGUACUUUUUUAUUUGUUUACUUUUGUACAUUGAGUUGAAUGUUAGCGGUAUACAUUUCAGCUAAAUGUUAUUGUAUUUUGAUUGUUGGAUCAAUUUUUGUAGUGAAUAUUCAAUCUUUAUUUUAA